GACGAACGCUGGCGGCGUGCUUAACACAUGCAAGUCGAGCGGUAAGGCCCUUUCGGGGGUACACGAGCGGCGAACGGGUGAGUAACACGUGGGUGACCUGCCCUCAGCUCUGGGAUAAGCCUGGGAAAACCGGGUCUAAUACCGGAUAUGACUCCAUGAACGCAUGUUGUGGGGUGGAAAGCCUUGUGCGGCUGAGGAUGGGCCCGCGGCCUAUCAGCUUGUUGGUGGGGUGAUGGCUACUAAGGCGACGACGGGUAGCCGGCCUGAGAGGGCGACCGGCCACACUGGGACUGAGACACGGCCCAGACUCCUACGGGAGGCAGCAGUGGGGAAUCUUGCGCAAUGGGCGAAAGCCUGACGCAGCGACGCCGCGUGAGGGAUGACGGCCU
RNAcentral lists this ribosomal RNA (389 nucleotides) under uncultured bacterium. Its description in RNAcentral is "bacterial SSU rRNA". It matches the Rfam family "Bacterial small subunit ribosomal RNA", at positions 28 to 417 of the family's 1533-position model. The record is from RNAcentral.